This 652-nucleotide long non-coding RNA is filed under the name Gorilla gorilla gorilla (western lowland gorilla). RNAcentral describes it as "lncRNA (ENSGGOG00000044303.1)". Lineage: Eukaryota; Metazoa; Chordata; Mammalia; Primates; Hominidae. The record is from RNAcentral.
CCUGUCUCAAAACAAAAACAAAAACAAAAACAAGACAAAACAAAACAUAACAAAACAGAAGUUCUUUAGGAGAUGGCAGGACCAAUGACUUCCAGCCAAGUGAAGCUAAGAAUCAAAGUUCAGCAUUAUCUACACAUUUCUCCCACGCACAGCUCAAUGAUAAUGCUUUCAGAACUGUGGAUAUCAUAGCAGCCACUGUCUGUCAUUAGGUCUACUUGCUCAAAUCUUGUUUGAUAAAACAGCUGAUUACCCUUAUUCUGUCAGUUUCUUCAUCCCACCAUCCAGAGUUCCACAGUAAUACAAAGCGGCAUCAUUUUCAGUAAAUAUAGCCUUGGAUAAGGCUUGGUGAAGAGGCCAGAAAAAGUUCAGAUGAGUCCAGCUCGGUUUGAAGUUCUACAAUGCAAGUGGAGACUACCAUUUCAGAAGCACUUGAGGUUAUCUCACAAAUAUUACUUAGCAAGACUGUCAGAGCCAGAUUCUCUACAUUUGGACACUGAAUUUCUCGAAUAUUGACUACAGCACAUCAGGUAAAAGCAGCACACCUAAUAGAACAAUAUUCACAUUGGCAAGCCAUAGAGAAUGACGACAAAUACAUGGAAGUAGAACCAUCCCAGCCAUCAGAACUUGAAGCAGACAGCAAGGCUGCCCACUG